Molecule: long non-coding RNA, 14161 nt
Filed under: Capsicum annuum
Lineage: Eukaryota; Viridiplantae; Streptophyta; Magnoliopsida; Solanales; Solanaceae
Description: long non-coding RNA (CANN_LNC014450)
Source: RNAcentral
GCCUUAUAGUGGUGUUAUCUUUUAACACUCUAUAUUUCUUUUCAGGUUGGAAUCUAAGAUCUAAAUAUUCAAGGGAUUUUAAAGAAGCUAUUUUUGUUAUCCUAAGUGAUUCAAAUUAAGGUACUUUUUACUUAGCUUUGUUUGAUAUUUCAAUCUACUAUUAGUAUAAGUUAUGUCUAAUUCUACUUCUUGUAUAUUUUCUAUCAACCUAGACUGUUCAUUAAUUAAUGUUUUUUUAUAAUAUUUAGAGGUUAUAGUAAUUAUUUCAUCUGUUUCUUUAAAGUUUAGAAUAUCUAUUUCUAGGUUUCUUAUUUUUUUAUUUAACAACUCUAGUCUUUCUUCAAAUUGUUUCCGAAUUUUUACAAGUUGAUAUUUAUAAAUAAAUUCUCUAUAAUAUUGUCGUUGAAUUUCUCUAAUAUAUUCAAUAUAUCUUAUAGGCAUUUAUUAUCCUAGUGGUAUUUGAUCUGCUUGUUGUUUAUAUAAAUUUGUUCUCCAGAAACAGUUCUCUAAUCUUACUUUAUUAAAUUUUAAAUCUUCUUUAAAGUGUGUUAAUAAUGUUUUAUAGUAUUUUAUGUCUAAUUCGUCUAGGUUUUCUUGAGUCAAUUUAUUUCUAAUUAUUUUUAUAUUUUCUUUUAAUGCUCUUUCUAUCUUUAUUAAUCCAGCUUUAAUACCAGAUUUUCUUCUAUCCACUUAUUUAUUUUUCUUAGUCUUUGAAAAAUAGGUAGGGCUUGCAUAUAUUAUCCUAAUUAAUAAGCCCGUGCUAAUACGUUUUCUAAGACACUUUAUACCUAAAUUAUUGUUUUCUAAAUCUCUAUCACAAACACUUAAUUUCCAAUUUAAGACGCUUACUAAUAUUUCACACACUGAUCUAGAUGUAUUAUAUAUUUUAUAUAAUCUAUUUGUUUCUAUUACCCUUUUUUUACUUUCUUCUGAAUUAUAUUUUCUAGCAAUAAUAUUAUCUCUUUUUCUCUCUCUAUAUAUGUAUGUAUGUAUAGGUAUACACAAAAUAAGGUACAACCUACCUUAAUAGCAAGGCAACACUGACCUGGAGUGUAGCUAAAGCAUAUCCAUGAUCCAAGGCCUACAAAUCUACAAUAUAAAACAAAUAAGGGAGAAACAUAAAACUAAAUGAAAAUCCACCAGAGAUUACUCAUCUUAUAGAAAUUGAAUCAGCUUCCCUCUUCUCUCUCUAGAAUGUGAUCCUUCUUUAGCGAUUAUUGAACAUGGAAAACAGAUCUAAGGUUAGAGGGAAGGGCAACAAGGAUUCAUGGUAAUAAGAACUAUAAAUGGUAAAUUUGGGGUGCACAAUAUGGGGACUCCAAGAAGAUUAAAAGUGUCACAUUUCUACAGGGGUUACUUCUGCUUGACAUCCCAAAGAGAUCUGUGGAACCUCAAUCAUUUGGGACUGCACACACAUCAUUGGAAAUAGGAGUGAUCUUUGGAUAGUCUAGCUAGGCAGACAUGUUAGAGAAAGCGGCAGGAUAAUGACCUGGUAAAUCUCAAACCCUAAGCCCUAAAUAAACUGUCUAAGCUACAUUAUGGAGUAACAUAGUGGGAAAACAACACGGAUAAGGUGUUAGACCUUACAAUAAAGGAAAAAACUAAUAUGUAUAUUAAAUUCAAAUUAGAGGAUGUUAGUAAGGGAAUUGAGUACUAUUCAAUAGUGAUGGUAUGCUAUGUAAUAGGGUCUAACCUUCUGCAAACUUUAAUAGAGGGAUAUUUUAGUAAAAUCUAAAAGGUAAGGGGAAUAAAUAAAAUUGUGCAAGUUAAUACAAGGGAGUUUUUGGUGAGAUUUCACCAAGGUAUUGACAGAGAAAAAGUGUUGAAUACUGUUUGAUAGAAAGCCAAUUAUGGUAAAGCCCUGGGCACCUUGCACAAAAUUACUAAGGAGAAGAUGGACACGAUCCUAUUUGAGUUCAACUAAUAGUGUUUUAUGUGAAAUAUUAGGCAAAAGCGCACUGACAAAGGUUACUAGUCUAGUGGGUAACCCCAUUAGAGCUUAUAAACCUACAAUAAGUAAAUAUAGAAUAACAUUUGCUAGACUUCUUGUUGAUGUGCCUCUAUAAAAAGAGCAUCCAAGUGUUGUGAUGUUUGAGAAUAAAUAUGGUCAGAUUGUAGAGUAGAAGGUGAAGUAUGAUUGGAAGCUAGUAUUAUGUACCAAAUUUAAAAAUUUUGGGGUGUAGAAGGGUGAUAAAAGAGGUAGGAAAAGGGGAAUAAUAGGCUAGAGUAGAAAGUAUAAGGCAAUACAGUACUGAUAUGCACUUGGGUAAAACAAAGCAAGGAUAAAAGAAAAAGGCUAGAAAAUUGCUAAGCCAUAUGCUACCAAAUACAAGGGAAUGAGACAAUUCAUGAAUCAUCAUCAGGUCACUACAAGCACACUCAAUUCCUUUGAGGGGUUGUCACGGGAAGAAAUUAAUGAGAUAUAACAAGAUGAUGAACCUCCUAGCCCAAAGUAAGAAAGAGAUUGCACUAGCCAUGGAAAAGGAAGGGGAGAGGAUCCACCUCUUCCCCAUUGAUAAAAUGAAUUUCUGGAAUACCAGGAGGUUGAACAAGGUUGAUAAGAAGAAAUGCACUUAUUUCUGUGUAAUUCUCAGAUCAGUUUAUUUUGCCUCUUGAAACUAGGGUGAAGAGAGCUAAAGCUCAAAAUGUAUCUCUUUAACUUUGUAACAAUUGGUCCUUUGCAACAAAUUUAUCAGUAACCCUAGUUUAUCUAUAAACCAAAUAGAUUUGAUGUAAAUAUCAAAAUGAUAACUACACAAAUAAUUAUUGUGGGAUAAGUUUUAGAGGGAUGGGGCAACAAAUAGAAAUAACUUUAUGUAUGGUUUUAAUGAUGCAUCUUUAAGGAGGAACUAUGGGAGUACAUAACAUCAUAUUAUCCAUGGCCCAUGGGCAGUAGUAGGAGAUUAUAAUUGUGUGUCGAACUGUGAUGAACAAAUAGAAGACUUGUCAGUGUUGUGGAAAUAGACUUUAAAACUUAUGUUUCUAUAUAUGGGAUAAAAGACCUGAAGUCUACGAGUUGCUUCUACACCUGGACAAACAAAUAAUAGGGGGAUACUAAGGAAGUGAGUAAAAUAAACAAGGUAUUGGUUAACCAUGAAUGACAAGUAUAACUUCCAGUAUUUGAAGUGCAUUUUAUUCUAAAAGGAUUAGAUGAUCAUAGUCGAACAAUAAUCUAUUGGGAAGAGAAUUCAUCAACUUUACAGAAACCAUUCAAUUACUUCACAUGUGGAGCUUGUCUCCAAUAUUUGAGAAUAAGGUGGUGGAAAUUUGGAAAGUUCCUACAUUGGGAGGGCUCAUUUAUCAAAUUAUGGUAAAGCUAAGUAGUCUAAAAGAGUUCUAAUGGGCUGAAUAGAGACAUAUUUAACAAUAUAGAACUUCAAACCAUGAAGACAGAGUAAUAAUUGUAUCAAUACCAAGCUAAGCUUCAACAUGAUCCCAAGAAUACACGUGGAUACUGGAAGAAGAAACACUAACAAGUAAACUCAAGAGUGGAAGCUAGCAAGAGACAAGUUCUUACGACUGAAGUGUAAGAUUCAGUAGUUAAAAGAGGGAGACCUUAACACAAGGCUCUAUCAUAGAUACUUGAUAGCUAGAUAAAAUGCCAAUAGGAUAUUCAUAGUUAAUGGUAAAACGGGCAUGACACAAACAAAAUGGAGGACAUUGUUAAUUCUUUCACUAAAUUCUACACAGAGCUGUUAGGGAUCAAAGAACAGAGAACUCCUUCCAACCAGGAAAUUAUCAACCAAGAAACUUAGGUGAUAACAGCCAAAGUGAAAUAUUACAAUAGGAUUUUCAAUAAUGACGGCGAAGAGGGCAUUUUGGGCAAUUGAUGUGGACAAGACUCCUGUCUCGAAUGGAUAUGGGAUUCAGUUCUUUAAGGAUGCAUGGGAAAUAGUUGGAUAAAAUAUAACAAAAAAGGUGUUGGACUUCUUUGACAUAGGCAGUAUGUUAAGGGGACUCAACAGCAUAAUAAUCACACUUAUACCAAAGAGUUUACAUGUUGCUGAAGUUGGGGAUUAUAGACCAAUCUCCUAUUGUAGCAUAGUUCAAAAAGUGAUUUCAAAAAUGUUAUGCACUAGACUCAAAAAGUGUUCUACUAGAUAUCAUAUCUCCCAACCAAUGUGCUUUUGUAGCUGGUAGAUCCAUUUUCUAAAAUAUACUAAUUUUCCCAAACUUGGUUCGACUAUAUGACAUGAAAUCUACCCACUAAAAGUUUUUUUAUCAAGAUCGAUCUCAAGGAGGAGUAUGAUCUUGUUGAGUGGGAAUUUGUCAAGGAGAUAUAUAUGGGUUCAAGUUUCCUCCUAAGUUUAUUAAGUGGGUUAUGAAGUGUGUGUCUACACCACAAUACUUAAUUGCAAUAAAUAGAGGUAUGUAUGGGAACAUUUUGGGCCAAAAAGGAUUGAGGUAAGGGGAUUCAAUAUCACCCCUCAUCUUUGUAUUGUGUAUGGAAUAUUUCACAAGGUUGAUGCGCUGGAUUAUAAAGCAACAAUGGUUUAGCUAUCUCACCAAUUGUAGAAGCCUAUAUCUAAAUCAUUUGUGCUUUGCUGAGACAUUCUCAUCUUCAGUAUAGGGGAUAUUAGAUCAGUAACUCUAAUGCUUUAGGGGUGACCUCUUUUUCCCACUCACCAGAUUGAUAACAAAUGCCUCGAAGUCAAGUAUUUUCUCAGUUAAAAUGUACAAAAGAGACUUAGAAGAUCUAUAUGAAUUAACAAGGUAUGAAAAAGAAGAAUUGCCAUUUUGACAUUUGGGAGUCCCUUAUCUAGCAAAGAAGUUGUCUGAAGUAGAUUGCAAGAUGUUGGUUGAUAAACUAACAAGCAGAGUCUAGGACUUGGGGAUAGAAGCACUUACCAUAUGCAGGAGGUGUACAGUUAAUUAACUCAGUUCUACUAUAAAUAUAUGCAUAUUGGUUGUCUAUUUUGAUACUCUCAAAGGUAGUGAUAAAAUAGAUAAAAGUUGUACGCAGAAAUUUUCUGUGGACUGGACAACUCCAUAAUAAUAAGUCACCACUGAUUGCAUAGGAUCUUGUUUGUCGACCAAAACAAGAAGGUGGGCUAGUAAUUGAAUAGGAGAUAGUUUGGAAUGAAGCGGUUGUGGUGAAAUAUGUAAGGAAUGUUUCUAGUAAGGCAGAAAAAAUAUGGGCGAAAUGGGUGAAUCAAAGUUACUUGGAGGGUCAAGCUUGGUGGUAAUAUGUAGCACCAAAUAAUUCAACUUGGUACUAGAAGAAAAUUUGUAGACUAAAAAUAUUUACAAUCUGGUUAUGUACAAAAUGGAUGGCAAAGUUAAAACAUGGACAUAAAUUGUCAAGAGUGGGAAUAUAUGGAGAAAAAACACUAGUGAGGAUUGGCAGAUCUUUUAAGGUGUUUACAAAAUGGCUUGUCUUCCAAAACAUUGUUUUAUUAGCUAGCUCAAGAUUCAAAGGAGACUAAUGACCAAACAUAGAAUGCUGAAAAUGAGAGUGACAAUAGAUGAUAACUGCCUACUAUGUGGGGAUCAGGCAGAACGUGUUAAUCACCUAUUCUUCCAAAGUAAAUUCUCACAAGUUUGCAUUAGAAAGGUGUUAGAGUGGCUGCAAAUCACAUCAAGAAAUCAAGAAAUCAAUGGGUGGACUUAAAUAGAAAACAAAGCGAGAGGAAAGGUAAGUAGAACUUCUUACUGCGCAGUCACAACUUCUAAUAUAUAUAACGUGUAGAAGGCCAUAAAUGAGGCAUUAUGGAACGUGAAGGUGUUAAUACCAGAAGUUAUAUGUAAGAGGAUAUAUGAGGAUUGAAAAUCAUAGAAAUAAUUAACAAGAAAAGGAGAUGUAGAGAUAGGGUAUGGAUAGAGCAAUUUAUUAAAAGAUCAAUCAUGUAAGUAGUGCGGGAUAGGUUUGGAGCAAUUGCUCAGUUUGGUGUGUGAAUAAGAAUAUUUUGGGUUGUGACCAAAAGGAACUCUCACCUUAUCGUGAGAUACCACCCCAAAACCCAUACUAAGGACCCUACCAUAAUUCUAGCACUAUGGUAAGCAUAAUAGGAUUCCUAACCUAAUGCUCACACUAUAGUAACAUCUUAAUCUUAGGCUCAUGUAACAUUCUACUCUAAGAUCCCUGAAGUAGACUAAUAAUAUCAUAAAAUAUCCUUAGCCUAUCCUACGAAUCCCUUAUACCACAUGAAAUUCAUCAAAUAAACUAUCUCAUAGAGCUUAGUCUAAAAGAAAGUAGACCACGGCCUACCUUAAAACCAAACGUCCAUCUCGUACUAACUUUGAACUACCUUUCCCCUCCAUUCGACCUCAAAAACCUAUGCACUAUUAAAAAUAUAAUCUAUAUGUCAAGAUGAGAAAAACAAAACCUAUUUUAUAAAUAUAAAAAUUGAGCCAAAAUCAGGUCAAAAAUUACCCUCGAGCCCAACCAAAAAAAAUUAGAAAUUGGACCCACAACUACCUUCCCCGUAGGAUAAAAAAUGAAUGCUAAAAAAUUGAGCAAGAUCGAAGCUCAAAGUUGGGCUCAAAAUAGCCCUCAAAGCCCAAAGAAAUUAAUACCCCAAACUAGGAAUCUAAUGAAAUUAUGGGACAAAUUUCAAUGAGAAAUAAGUAGAGAAUCGAUCAUGGGAUGUAGAGUUUUCAUACCCUUAGAUUAAUCUAAUGAAACCCCCACCCACCCACCUACACAAAAUUAACUCCUUUUAGAUCACUUCUAGGGCCAAGGUAUGAAAAUAAUGGUGGAAAGAUGAAGAAGAGAGACAUUUAUAUAUUUUACGAGAUCCUUCAUUGUGAUAGAGGGAGUCAUAUCAUGAAUGCGAUCUGACCCUAAAACAACUCUUAUGAUCAUGGCCAGCUCAUCUCGAAUGUGAAGAAAAAAUCUAGCCAGUUUAACCUAACCUUUUUUGUGAAUGCAAGGGUAAGAUUACUAACAUGAUAGUCAAGAACUUAACCCUUCGCGGAUGCAAAGGGCAAUUUUGUGUUGCACCAGUUGUUGCAAUAUUAGCUAAAAUAGAGUCUCAAAAUGAUUUUGAAUAGGUGUUUGAGAUUUAUUUGGAUCCCCAUAGGUACUUCAGAUUCAUUGAAACCCCAUGAACAUAAACUAAAUAUACAACCGUAUUGAAAAUGGCAUGUCAAACUCAAUGAAAUUGAUAAAAUUUCCAAUGGAGGUUGUUUUAAUGAAAUGAGUUGCAUUGAGAUCCAACCAAGAUUUUCUUUGUAUGGAUCCACAUAUAAGUCCAAAGAAUGUUGUCCUGAGUUCUUGAUUCUAGAAAUUUGAUCCAGGCAUUGACUCCCACAAGUAAAGAAAAUUUAUCAAAACACAUUCUCUCCUCUAUGGCUUUCACUCAAUCAUCCAGACAACAGUCAACUACAUCUGUUUUGAUCAAAUAAGGCACAUGCAAAUGCUCCAUCAUCCACAGCUGCAAUAUCAGAUUACUCCCCUUAAAAAAUUGUAUCCCUCCUUUUACUUCAAUCAAAGCCUUAUAUAUUUCUGUUAAGAUUAUUGCUAUAAUGGUAACCUUCUGUCUUUUAUUAAAUAAAUCCAUCACCACUGAUUGUAAAUAAGUAUUGAUGCACUUCUCAUCUAACGGGAACACUAAUAGACCCAACAGAGCCAGACAGAAAACCUCGAGAUGAUGUUGUUCCCACAUCUUCUUGGUAGUACAAGAUUCAUCCCAAAAGUAGUCAAAACAUUCUAAAGACCCAAAUCGAGCAAACAAAUAGUUAAAGGAAAUCCAUGAUUAUUUAAGACGCCCCAGCUAGUUGUUCUCUUUCAAUCCACAAACUCGAAGAAAUCUCUUGCCAGAAUGAUCUCGGGCUAAAAUCAUCCGUUGAUUAAUAUAAGACAAUUGAAACAAACGAGAUAUUUUUGCCAGGGUAGGGGUUAAUUCACAACUUCCGAACCUAAACACUAUUUGGAUCCCAAAAGUUCAGCACAGACUCUAUUAGAUCUGGGCGGGGUGUUAUAUCUAGGAGUGCUACAAGAUUGCCUAAAACUUUCCUUAAUUCGUAUUUUUCAAAGUAGUGGAACGUUCCUCACCACUUGAUUAACUUUUUGGGCACCUUGACAACCAUCAAGACUAUAGACUUUGUGGACAGAUCCAUCCUGUAAUAACAUAUAGGACAUUAACUCAAACAUUCAAUAAGACAGGAAAAGAUUCUCAACCCUUGGGAUUUUGACGCGGACUUGUGUCGAAGGGACAUACCACUUUAUAACUCAAAUUCAUCGAAUGGUACAGCUAAGAGAAAUCAGCCUACUUGGCUAGAACCAGCUAACGACAUUGGACAGGAGACAGACCCUAGGCUAGGACUAAAACAAGGACCAAAACAAAAGAUUAUCGGAUCCACCGAGGGUUGCCUACGUAUCCUACCCCGAAUGACGAGAAUCAGGUAUGCGUAGUUCAUCCAGAUUAGACAAUUGAGGAUUAAACAACAAACUAAACCUUGACUUAAGAGACACGACUACAACGAUGAAAAUAAUUUUUUUGGGGGGGUUUUCAAUUUGACACUUCAUAUAAAACUGACACCAACAACUAUGAAAGAAAAAUCUUUUUGGUAUUUUUGUUAUAAGAGAUGUACAAAACUCCUACCAUCUUUGAUUUUCUUUUACAAAAAGCUCCUAUUAAGGAAGAAUCUUUUUUGAAAAUUUUAAAUUAUGAAUGCUUACUAAAGAAACAAAAGGAAAAUUAUUUUGAUGUUUUUGUUUUUGACAAAUGAGUGCAAAAGGUAAAAAAAAAUAUUUUUGAAUUUUUGUUAAUUUGAGAAGAUAAAUGCAAAAGGUAAAAAAUCUUUUUGAAUUUUUGGGUUGUGAAAAAACAAAAGCCAUAAAGAACUCUAAAAAUAAACUACGAAACUCUUUUUUGAUUCACCUUUUAUUCUUCAUUUUGUUCUUUUUUUUUUUUUUGAAUUGUUCUAGCCUAAACACAUAUUUUUCCCCAAAUCAGUCCGUCAAAUGACCUCGUUACCCUCAAAGAUGCAACAUUAGCACGUAGGGAUGCUUUAGGGGUGAGUCUUCUACAAAGGACCAAGUGAGUCCCGCUAGGUCUCAAUAUGAUGCAGAUAAGAUGACCUAAAGGCUGACCUACACCGGGGUCCACUAACAAGGUCAUUUAGGGUAGCAUAUGGUUGAUAGUGGCUGUUUUGCUUUCCACCUACUCCAUACAUCUGUUGGUUCUCCCUUCUAAAAUAAGGGUUACUCAACUAGAGUUCGUGUACACGACGUGUACUCCAGGACUUGUUGCAGAAAAAAUUGACUCAGAUUAUGCAAAUGAUGCUAGAUAUAAAGCGGUAACACAUAAAAGAAAACUGCAAACAUGUAGCACGUAGGCACUCAACAAUGAUAAAAUAAUAACACAAACACUAACACAAACAAUGUUUAUACAUCCACAAUGUCAAACUAAGCUGAUACAACUCAAAAAAAUAAGCUCGAAUUCUGAAAAAUCCCCAGUUGAGUCGUCAGAGUUGUCACACCCUUUUUUAACCAAAAAGAUUAGAUUCUUGAUUUUUAGGUUCAAAAAGGGGUUUUAUUCUUAAAGUGACAAAAAUAAAGAUUUGUUUCGAAAAGGAUUAAUUUUACAAUUAACUCAGAGUCGACACCUGGCAUAAUCGGGUGUGCCAAGUGACCCUUAGAAAUCCCUUUUUCAAAAUAAUUUUUUUUACUCUUUAAAACUGUUGAUCGAGGGGGAGGUGUUAGGCACCCCUCGAUCCCAUGAUUCGACCACGGUUGCUCCAUAGAGUGUAUCGGCUAGUAUGAUGCUACAAAAUGUAUAAAUCAGCAAAAACACAUAAUAAACAAACAAAACACCCAAACAAUUAAAAAUCCAAAAUAGUGCCCAGUUUGAAUUAUACAGUACCAAAAAAUAGAAAAAUGUGAAAAUGUAUACCUAUCCUAAACUAAUCCUAGACUAAGCUCCACCCGACAUUCCGAGCCUUGAUUGCGCGCCAUCUUCAAGUAUAACUUUCUCGGGGAAUUUCCUGGAUAAAACAAUACAAAUACCCCUGGGCAUUUCCCGAAUAAAAUAAUACAAAUACCUCGAGGCAUUCCCAUGCUAAAUGAAUACGUUUUCCAAAUGCGAGAAAGAUAAACCAUUUCACAAACAUGUCAAAUCCUCCACUAAUUCACAAUUCCUAAAUUUGCCUUUCCAAGCCUAAGAUUUGUCUAUUGAAUUUUUUGGCCUACAACAUGGUACUACCGAACUCAACAACAUUCAUCAAUGAAUCAAAAGAAUCAACAUUCACUUUAUUCGAUUCUUAAUUCCUCCCCCUUAAUUCCCUUUUAAUUCUUAAAUUGCCGAUUUCAAUUCUCAAACGAGAUAUCAUUUCAUCAUACAACACAUAACCAACAGAACCAACAAUAAAUCAACACCAAAACAACUAUUCACCACCAACAGGGAUCAAACAACACAUAAACGUUCAAUUGAUAACACCGAAUAUCAUAAACAAGAAAAUAAAAGAGUAGAUAUUAGAAAUGAACCUCAAUUUGGAGAACGUUGCUUGAUAAAAUAAAGAAAUCCACUUUCGAAAACCUGAACUCAAACCUCUCAACGGACCAACUCCAAUGGAAUAAUCUCGAAAUCCAAUAUGAAAGAAAUUCGCAUAAAUAAAUUAAGCAACCCAAAAUAAAAUUAAGAGAAUCGAAGACCCGUGUGAUGAUUUACGUGUGUAUUGUGCAUACGUGAUAUCUAUUUUCUAGUGAAUUCUCUUUUGUAUAUUAUGAGUGUUGUGAAUAUAUGAUUUUUCGGUGAGGUGUGUGUGUUUUUUAGUGAAUAAGCAGAAAAAUGAAGGUCUGUGUACGUGUGUGCAUAGUGUUUCCAGUGUAUAUGUGCGUGUAUAUAUGGUUUUGUAUGUGUAGUCUUUUUUUUGUUCUUUUCAAUAAAGUCUUGUGUGUGUUGUUUUGUUUUUAUUUUAGAGAUAUGAGUGGGUGUGUAUAUUAUUGUUAAUGUGAGAGUUGUCCAUGAAUGUGAGAGUGUGUAUUGUCUUGUGUUGACCAAAAAAAAUAGAAGGUGCACGUGGGUUUGUAGAGGGUUGGUGGGAGUGGUUGGAUUAGGUGGGGGGUAGGGGAGAUAGGUAGGGGUAGGAGAUAGGUAGGGAGUAGGGUACGUAAAUGAGUAAAAAUUAUUUUUGAGAGCGACAAAAUUAUGUAUCUACAAGUAGAGGAGUAAGAAAGUAAAGUUCAAGGAAGAUCCUUGUACUAAAGGAUUAAUGGAGGCAUCAUGGAGGUUUCUUGGGAGACUUAGCAGGUCAUGUAGACCCAGUAUCCUCACCUUUUCAAGUCGUUAGGCUCAUUCUAUUUUUGGAUGUUUGAGGGUAAAAUUCUCUUAGUAGUGGAUUUUGUAUAAUUUUUAGAAAUUUUCAUCUGUUUUCCUUGUUUUGAGCUUUCUUGCAAUUGCUACGAGGUAUUUAUGACUUAUCGGUAUAGAUGGUUUGGUUCCCGACAAUUCAUUUGAAUUUUAAGACAAAUUCCCCAUUUUAGAGCUUUUAAAGUUAAGUUUGACUUCGGUCAAAUCUUCUUGUAAAAAGCCUCAGAUGAGAAUUAUGAUAUCGUAGAUUUUAGGCUUAAGGAACCUUUGGUUCAGGUCUUGAGGCUUUUAGUAUCAAUUUGGAUUAUUGGUUGGAUUUUAGUGAAAAUUGAAAGAAUAAGCUUAGUUUUGAUAGGACUUGACUGCACCAGACCUUACAGGCUAAAAAGGUGAUGCGUCAGUUGGGUAGUGUAAUACCCCGAACUUUCUUUAAGUCAAUCUAGUCACCAUAAGAGUUAUUGAUGACUUUUGAAAUGAUCAAUAUUCAAAUCAUAUAGAAUUUCUCCAAUUUUGACUUUUUAUCAUGUGGGAAAUUGAAUUAGCUUUCCAACGAUACCAAUUUCAUCAAAAUCCAAUAACGGGGUAGAAACUUAUGUCUGUUUUUUACUGAAAGCAGUCAAAACUGCCCAGGUGCGACUGUGAGGGUCGAAGGAUCGUCGAGCUAGCAAUGGACCAUUGCCUAAGCCAUCACAACGGAGGUAGUGAGACCACUUUCUGCCUAAGGGAGAUGGCUCAAGCCGACAGAUCAUCGAGCUAGCGAUGGACCGUCGACUAAGCCGUCGCAGUAGAGGUAGUGAACCCCUAUUCUACCCAGGUACGACGGUCAGGACUGACGGACCGUCGCACCCACCAUCGCAUAGUUCGUUCAGUUAUUUUAAAGUCAUUUUUAAAAGGGUAUUUGGGUCUUUUCCACCUAUUUUAACCUCUAAUUAUAUCAGAUCAAGGCUCAUAAGUUCAUUAUCCAUCUACAACAUCAAAUUAGGGUUUUCUCUCAAAGAUAAUCCCCAAGAACAAGAUCCAAAUCCUUCUUCAAGAAACUAAGAAAUUCAAGUUUUUUAAGUCUAAGAAUUUUAAGAAACUCACAACCUAGGUAUGUCAUGUCUUGAUUCAUGGGUCUCUUUCAUCCAUGAAGCUCAAGAAUCUCUUUUCAAAAUACAAAAUUUGUGUAAUUAUGAAUGUUCGUGAUUUAAAUAGAAUUGAAAUUUCAUGUUCAUGAUGUUGUGGGGUUUUGAUUCAGGUUUUAAAUUACAUUCUUCCAAUGAUUGACCCUAGUAUAUGAAGAUUUGCAUAAUAACCAUGAUAAACCCCUUCAAUUUACAAUUUGAUUGAUGUAUCCAGGAUUAUUAGAUGUGUUGAUGAUUGUAUAACCAAAGCAUGCUCCCCAUGUGUUUGAUUAAAUGCCUAUGUGAAGGAAAAGUGUCAUACUAGUAUAAUAAUAUGAAAUCCCCAUUCAUGUACAAGUUCAUGCAUGUCAAGUGUUUGAUGGAAUGUCUUCGUCAAUAAGUUAUGGAUAUAUGUGUGGCUAUUGUGGUGCUUUAGAACUUGUACUUCAUGAAUUCUCCAACAUAUCAUACUAUGGAUUGUUGAUGUGAUCAUGUAUUCAAGAAAGUCAUGCUUUGUCAGUUUCUUCCCAUCGAGCCUUGGGGGUACUUGUACCUGAAAAUUUAGCUGCGUGCCUAGAAUCAGUGUCAUGUUUUCAAGAUACUCUCAGUCAAGCUAUGAUCCAUAGAAUUCAGUCAAUCUCAUGACUCAUGAAAACUCAGUAAUCUCAGUAGUAUUCCGUCAGUCAACGGAACUUAAUUAACUCAGUUCAGUUAAUCAUGUUCAGUUUCUAUCUAGAUGGGAGUAGAAAUUAGCACCGAGUGAACCUAAGGAUAGGAAUCCACCUGCUAUAUGAGGGUGUGAUUCUUAGAAGCAAUCCUUGUGUUCUAGAACUACGUAGCCAGCAUAGGUUGAGACAUCAUAGCUUGUUAUAUGAGGGUAGAUGAGGUGGCUUAACUUGUUAUAUAAGGGUUCCCACCAUUCUUACUAGAGUCACCUUUUAUAUGAGGGUUACUCACAGAUUGUCUUUACAAGUGUCGCGGUAUUGACACCCUUCCAAUUGGGGUUACAGAUUAGAACCCAACUCAGCUAUAUUGCAUAUUUAGGGCAUGUCGGUUAGAUGACUACUUCCCAUAGUUUCAGUUAUAGAAUCUGGACUGUUAGAUACAGUCAUUUAGUCUCAGUAAUAGAACUAAGAUAGUUCUUUAGAAUUUCAGGACUGUUAGAUACAGUCAACUCAGAAUAGCAUGGAACUCAGCUAGUUCCAUCAAAAACUAGACUGUCGUAUACAGUUGCUCAGUAUUAGUUAUAUCAGUUAUACAGUUACCAGUAUCUCAUAUUAUCAGUACUCAGGCUCAGCAAUCAUGUUAUCACGAACUUAGUUACGGUUAUUAUGUAUUCAUCUAUGUAUUCUCACAUUCAUGUUAUUCGGUCAGUUAGUAUAGUUCAUACAUAUGAAGCCUUUGCAUUUAGCCUACCUCACAUGCAUACCAGUGCAUUCAAACGUGCUGACACAUUUGUGCUAUGGUGUCUUAUACCAUAGGUUCAGAAGCACGAGCUCCAGAGCAUCAGUAGCAUUCCAGUCUCAGCAGUCAGAGUUAGCAGUAAGUCCUUUUUCUUUGAGGACAUGACCAUUACUUUAUUAUUUCAUUAAUUAAUUUAUUUCAGUAGUUGGAGUUAGUUGGGGACAUGUCCCAUCAACUCCUUAUUUAGAUAGUUUAGAGACUUUUAGACUAGCAUGUUCAGACAGUUAUUUCAGUUGUUUUGGUAUUGAUAUACCAUAUCCUCAGAUAUUAUGUUUUAUUAGAUUUUUGAACCUUAUGGCCUUUCAGCCUUUAUUUCUAUAUUUAUACAGUAUAUUAUGC